This is a long non-coding RNA of Lagenorhynchus albirostris (white-beaked dolphin), 3390 nucleotides long. RefSeq lists it as uncharacterized. The record is from RefSeq and is a predicted model, not a curated record. The transcript has 3 exons. NCBI's taxonomy places the organism in Eukaryota, Metazoa, Chordata, Mammalia, Artiodactyla, Delphinidae.
UGUUGCACAUGGGCUUUCUCUAGUUGCAGUGACUGGGGGCUGCUCUUCAUUGCGGUGUGCGGGCGUCUCACUGCGGUGGCUUCUCUUGUUGCGGAACAUGGGCUCUAGGCACGUGGGCUUCAGUAGUUGUGGCACACAGGCUCAGUAGUUGUGGUGCACGGGCUUAGUUGCUCCGUGGCGUGUGGGAUCUUCCCAGACCAGGGCUCGAACCCGUGUCCCCUGCAUUGGCAGGCGGAUUCUUAACCACUGCGCCAUCAGGGAAGUCCUAUACAUCAGGUUCUUAUUAGUUAUCUAUUUUAUACAUAUUAGUGUAGAUAUGUCGAUCCCAGUCUACUCAAAGAACCAGCUUUUAGUUUUAUUGAUCUUUGCUAAUGUUUUCUAUGUUUCUGUUUCAUUUAUUUCUCCUCUGAUCUUUAUGAUUUCUUUCUUUCUGCUAACUUUGGGUUAUGUUUUUUGUUCUUCCUCUAAUUCCUUUAGGUGUAAGGUUAGAUUGUUUAUUUGAGAUUUUUCUUGUUUCUUGAGGUAGGAUUGUGUUGCUAUAAAUUUCCGUCUUAGAACUGCUUUUGCUGCAUCCCAUAGGUUUUGGAUCAUUGUGUUUUCAUUGUCAUUUGUCUCUAGGUAUCUUUUGAUUUCCUCUUUGAUUUCUUCAGUGAUCUCUUGGUUAUUUAGUAACGUAUUGUGUAGCCUUUGUGUGUUUGUGUUUUUUACAAAUUGAUUGUAAUUGAUUUCUAAUCUUAAAGCAUUGUGGUCGGAAAAGACGCUUGAUAUGAUUUCAAUUUUCUUAAAUUUACCAAGACUUGAUUUGUGACCCAAGAUGUGAUCUGUCCUGGAGAGCGUUCCGUGCGCACUUGAGAAGAAAGUGUAAUCUGCUUUUUUGGAUGGAAUGUCUUAUAAAUAUCAAUUAAAUCUAUCUGGUCUAUUGUGUUGUUUAAAGCUUAUGUUUCCUUAUUAAUUUUCUGUCCAGAUGAUCUGUCCAUUGGUAUAAGUGAGGUGUUAAAGUCCCCCACUAUUAUCGUGUUACUGUUGAUUUCCUCUUUUAUAGCUGUUAGCAUUUGCCUUACAUAUUGAGGUGCUUCUAUGUUGGGUGCAUAUAUAUUUAUAAUUGUUAUAUCUUCUUGGAUUGAUCCCUUGAUCAUUAUGUAGUGUCCUUCCUUGUCUCUUGUAACAUUCUUUAUUUUAAAGUCUACUUUAUCUGAUAUGAGUAUAGUUAUUCCAGCUUUCUUUUGAUUUCCAUUUGCAUGGAAUAUUUCUUUCCAUCCCCUCACUUUCAGUCUGAAUGUGUCCCUAGGUCUGAAGUGGGUCUCUUGUAGACAGCAUAUAUGCGGGUCUUGUUUUUGUAUCCAUUCAGUGAGUCUGUCUUUUGGUUAGAGUGUUUAAUCCAUUCACAUUUAAAGUACUUAUUGAUAUGUAUGUUCCUAUUACCAUUUUCUUAGUUGUUUUGGGUUUGUUUUUGUAGGUGCUUUGCUUCUCUUGUGUUUCCCACUUAGAGAAUUUCCUUUAGCAUUUGUGGUAGAGCUGGUUUGGUGGUGUUGUCUCUUAGCUUUUGCUUGUCUGUAAAGCUUUUGAUUUCUCCAUCGAAUCUGAAUGUGAUCCUUGCUGGGUAGAGUAUUCUUGGUUGUAGGUUCUUCCCUUUCAUCACUUUAAAUAUAUUGUGCCACUCCCUUCUGCCUUGCAGAGUUUCUGCUGAGAAAUCAGCUUUUAACCUUAUGGGAGUUCCCUUAUAUGUUAUUUGUCGUUUUUCCCUUGUUGCUUUUAAUAAUUUUUCUUUGUCUUUAAUUUUUGUCCAUUUGAUUACUAUGUGUCUCGGCAAGUUUCUCCUUGGGUUUAUCCUGUAUGGGACUCUGUGCUUCCUGGACUUGGGUGGCUAUUUCCUUUCCCAUGUUAGGGAAAUUUUCAACUAUAAUCUCUUCAAAUAUUUUCUCAGGUCCUUUCUUUCUCUCUCUCCUUCUGGGACCCCUAUAAUGUGAAUGUUAGUGUGUUUAAUGUUGUCCCUGAGAUCUCUUAGGCUGUCUUCAUUUCUUUUCAUUCUUUUUUCUUUAUUCUGUUCCGUGACAGUGAUUUCCACCAUUCUGUCUUCCAGGUCCCUUAUCCGUUCUUCUGCCUCAAUGAUUCUGCUAUUGAUUUCUUCUAGUGUAUUUUUCAUUUCAGUUAUUGUAUUGUUCAUCUCUGUUUGUUUGUUCUUUAAUUCUUCUAGGUCUUUGUUAAACAUUUCUUGCAUCUUCUUGAUCUUUGCCUCCAUUCUUUUUCCGAGGUCCUGGAUCAUCUUCACUAUCAUUAUUCUGAAUUCUUUUUCUGGAAGGUUACCUAUCUCCACUUCAUUUAGUCGUUUUUCUGGGGUUUUAUCUUGUUCCUUCAUCUGGGAUAUAGUCCUCUGCCUUUUCAUUUUGCUAUCUUUCUGUGAUUGUGGUUUUUGUUCUGCAGGCUGAAGGUUUGUAGUUCUUCUUGCUUCUGCUGUCUGCCGUCUGGUGGAUGAUGCUAUCUAAGAGAUUUGUGCAAGGUUUCUGAUGGGAGCGACUGGUGGUGGGUAGAGCUGGGUGUCGCUCUGGUGGGCAGAGCUCAGUAAAACUUUAAUCCACUUGUCUGCUGAUGUGUGGGGCUGAGUUCUCUCCCUGUUGGUUGUUUGGCCUGAGGUGACCCAGCACUGGAGCCUACAGGCUCUUCGGUGGAGCUAAUGGUGGACUCCAGGAGGGCUCACACCAGUGAGUACUUCCCAGAACUUCUGCCAGUGUCCUUGUCUCCGUGGUGAGCUACAGCCAUCCCCCGCCUCGGCAGGAGACCCUCCAACACUAGCAGGCGAUGAAGAGUGGAUACUGUACAGCAAUGUGGAACAGAAGAGAUCAUGGGGCAAGCGAAAUGAACCACCACCAACCACACCAAAGGCCUGUCUUCAUCCAAAGAAGGUGAUGUUGUGUAUAUGGUGGGAUUGGAAGGGAGUCCUCUAUUAUGAGCUCCUUCCAGAAAACCAAACAAUUAAUUCCAACAAGUACUGCUCCCAACCGGACCAACUGAAAAUGGCAUUCGACUAAAAGCAUCCAGAAUUAGUCAACAGAAAAUGCAUAAUCUUCCAUCAGGAUAAUUCAAGACUGCAUGUUUCUUUGAUGACCAGGCAAAAACUGUUACAGCUUCGCUGGGAAGUUCUGAUUCAUCCGCCAUAUUUACUAGACAUUGCACCUUCAGAUUUCCAUUUAUUUCAGUCUUUAUAAAAUUCUCUUAAUGGAAAAAAUUUCAAUUCCCUGGAAGACUGUAAAAGGCACCUGGAACAGUUCUUUGCUUAAAAAGAUAAAAAGUUUUGGAAAGAUGGAAUUACGAAGUUGCCUGAAAAAUGGCAGAAGAUAGUGGAACAAAAGGGUGAAUACGUUGUUCAAUAAAGUUCUUGGUGGAAAUGAAAAA